GACGAACGCUGGCGGCGUGCCUAAUACAUGCAAGUCGAACGCUUUUUCUUUCACCGGAGCUUGCUCCACCGAAAGAAAAAGAGUGGCGAACGGGUGAGUAACACGUGGGUAACCUGCCCAUCAGAAGGGGAUAACACUUGGAAACAGGUGCUAAUACCGUUUAACACUAUUUUCCGCAUGGAAGAAAGUUGAAAGGCGCUUUUGCGUCACUGAUGGAUGGACCCGCGGUGCAUUAGCCAGUUGGUGAGGUAACGGCUCACAAAGGCAACGAUGCAUAGCCGACCUGAGAGGGUGAUCGGCCACACUGGGACUGAGACACGGCCCAGACUCCUACGGGAGGUAGCAGUAGGGAAUCUUCGGCAAUGGACGAAAGUCUGACCGAGCAACGCCGCGUGAGUGAAGAAGGUUUUCGGAUCGUAAAACUCUGUUGUUAGAGAAGAACAAGGAUGAGAGUAAAACGUUCAUCCCUUGACGGUAUCUAACCAGAAAGCCACGGCUAACUACGUGCCAGCCGCCGCUGUAA
RNAcentral lists this ribosomal RNA (523 nucleotides) under uncultured bacterium. Its description in RNAcentral is "partial 16S ribosomal RNA". It matches the Rfam family "Bacterial small subunit ribosomal RNA", at positions 28 to 523 of the family's 1533-position model. The record is from RNAcentral.